GAAUUUUUCAAAAUAGAGAGGCGAAUCUUGUAAUUAUAAAGCCUUAUAAUCCAACCCUCUCGUUUCAUAAACCCUAGACCCCCCUCAGUCUCACUCUCACUCUUCUCUCGGUCUCUCCCUCAGCGACGAACGAGGUGUGUUCUGUUGAUUUCAAGAUGCUUGUGUUAUUCGAAACCCCAGCGGGGUUGGCCCUUUUCAAAGUAUUGGACGAAGGGAAACUCUCCAAAGUCGAGCUUGUUGUUUCUCUGAUAUAAGGUUUGUGUCUUAUACCAUCGGUCCUUUCUUUUUUCUAACCCCGGAGAUGUGGGGUUUGUUGGUGCCGGCGUCGGCGGCGGAGGGAGCGAGGGGUCGCCGGAGAGUUGGAGACGAAGGGGAAGGGAAAGGGUCGAAGGCUAAGGCGGGUUAGGUCCUUCCGCUUUUUCGCCAUUCUGUUUAACUUUCUGUCAUUUCUGUGUGCAUUUGUUUUAUACUGCACCCACCCAAAACCAUGUCUGUUUGGUCGGUUUGAUUAGUUUGGUUAUUUCAAAUAAAAAAAUUAAAUCAAAAACUAAACUUCUCAAAAAAGAUGACCGAACCGAAUCAUUAGAAGAAAAUAACCUAACCCAACUGACAAGUUUAGUCGAUUUUGUUUGGUUAGUUCGGUUUAACCGAACUUCUUCUGCUCUCCCUUACCUGUAAAUGCCUAUGUGGAAUUGUACUUGCUGUUUUGGUUGUGAUUUAGUUCUCAGCAAUUUUAGUAUUUAACCAAGGCACUUAAUGGUUUUGGUGGUGGAAGAUUCUGUUAGAUAUGCGAGGAGUAGAAAAUGAAAAUAGAAAGUGAUAUAAGGAAGGAGUAAAUAGUUCAUUUGAUUCAAGCAUUCUUUAGCCAACUUAACAGUGGAUACAAUGUAUAAAUGUAUGCUUGCCCAAUUACUAUUGCCUGAAAGUAUGCAUUGCAUCAGCCUGCGAGGUUAAUGAUAUGGAAAGAAACAAAUAGUCAAGUAGCAGUCUAGCUGCUUUGUAGUGUACAUCUAAGAUUCUAAUUGUUGUUGCUAAAGCCUAAAGCAGUGAAACUUGAAGGUUAAAGCGAGCGAGAAGAACAGAAGUGGCCUUCGACAGUUGGCCCAGCAGUCAUAGUGACUAAUCGAUAGAGAGAGAGAGAGAGAGACAGAGGAGCUGAGCGCGAGAAGAACAGAAGUUAUAGAACAAAGAAUCAUAGAUGUUGUUGAGUGCUUAAGCGCGCAAAAGAAAGACUGAAAGGGAAAGAAAGGGAAGUGAGAGUAUGAGAGAGAGAGAGAGAGAGAGAGAGAGAGAGAUGAGGGAAAGUGAAAAGUGGCUUUGAUGAGAAAAUAUGAGAAUUAAAAAUUGUGAAAGCAACGACAAAAAGUUGGGCAGAGAAUGGGAACUGUGAUGAACAACUAAAAAGUGGGUUUAAUAAAAUAUUUGUUAUUACAUAAUAAAAAUAUAUAUAAAUUAUAAAAUUUUAAAAUUAGGGGCCUUCCAAAAUUGGGGGUCUUAAUCAACUGCCUAACUUGUUUUAUAGUUGAGUCGAUUCUGAAUCUAAAGGGAUACCAUUCUUAUUUGAUCAUAAUUAUAAAUUAUUAAAUAUUUUAAUUUAAAGUAAUGAUACAGAGUGUAGUUAAUAUGAAAAUAUUUUAAUCUUUCUCUGUUUAUUCUUAAUGUUUUAUUCUGGUGUUAUAAGAUUUGCAUUUUUUGAGAUUUAGACCAUGAAUUUUGCCAUCGUCUUUACGAUUUUUACUGUCUCUAAUUAAAUUCCUCAAUCGUCUCCUCUCCCCCCACUUUCUCUCCACAUGUUUGUGAUUUUUGACCCAAUUUUUGAAUUUUUUUGCUCAAUCCUUGUUUUUUGAUAAAAUUUAUUAAUCAUUUCUCUUUCUUUUUUGUGCUUGCCAUUCAUACUGUUGAGCAUAUUUCCCUAUUUUCAUGCGCUGUUCCUCUGUAAAUUUAGUCUAGUGUUCCCACAUUGCUACUCCUAAAAGAUUUGUCAAAAAAUAAAUAAUUAAAUAAAUUAUACUCAUCUAUAACAAAAUUAAUAUUGCUGACUAUUGAGAUAAAAACAAGAAUAAUAGUAUGUACAUAAUAUUCAGUAAGCAUUCACACAAAUAAAUAUUAACUAGCUACCUUUAUUGUCUUUCACCCAUAUUGCUUCGAGGCAACUCUAAUCUCUUUGCAUAAUCUUUCUAUGACUGUUUACUUUCUUUUUCUUGUUCGCCAGCUAUCAUGUUGGGCGAACUCUUCCAUUUUCUCUUAUUGUUUCGCAGUAAACAUCGUUUUCUAUUUCUUUCCUGUUAAUCUGCUAGACUCUGACGCUGUCGCCAUCUCUAGUGAAUGAGGUGGUUGAGAUGGUGGUGGUAAAAGAAGAGGUGGAGGCGGAGAAAAUGGAGAUGGUGGUGGUGAUAGUGAUGGCAUAGAAGAUAAAGGUGAAGGUAAUAGUGGCAGUGGAGAAGAUGGUAGUGGAAGAGCUGGUGGUGAUAGUGGCGACAGAAGAGCUGGAAAUAUAAGGGUUGGUGGUGAUAAUGGCAACAGAGUUGGUAUUGCAAAAAUUGGUGACAAAGGGGCUAGUGGUGAUAAUGGCAACAUAAUAGUUGAUAGUGUAAGAGCUAGUGGUGAUGUUGAUAAUUGUGGCGGUGGUGGUGGCCAAAAGGGGUAGGUGAGAAGGCAGGUCUUUCGACCGGUGAAAACUGUCACUAUCACCACCAUUUUUAUCUUUUUCGUUGUCACUAUCAUCACCAUCAACUCUCAUCUUUUCCACCUCUUUCACCAUCAUCUCAACCACUUUCAUUGGCAAUGGUGGCGUUGUUGGAGUCUAACGAAUUAAUGGCGAUGAGACAAAAAAUAAUGUUUAUUGCGAAAUAACAUGAGAAAAUAGAAGAGUUCGCCCAAUAGGAUAGCUGACGAACAAAAAAAAGAAAUUAAACAGUCAAAAUGAUUUUGCGAAAAGAUUGGAGUUGAUCCCGAAGCCUACAAGAUGUGGGUGAAGAACAAUAAAGGUAGAUAGUUAAUAUUUGUUUGUGUGAAUACUUGUUAAAAAAUAUAAUGUACGUACUGUUAUUCUUAUUUUUACUUUAAUAGUCAGCAAUGUCAGUUUUGUUGUAGAUGAGUGUAAUUUAUUUUUUAAGAAAUCUUUUAAAAGCAACGACGAGGAGACACUAAACUAAAUUUACAAAAGAGCAGGACAUGAAAAUAGAGGAAUACGUUAAAUAGUAUGGAUGUCAAACACCAAAAAGAGAGAAAGGAUCAAUAAAUUUUAUCAAAAAAUAGGGAUUGAGCAAAAAUUUUUCAAAAAUUGAGUUAAAAAUCAUAAACACGAGGGUGGAAGGGGAGGGGGGAAGACAACGGAGGAAUUUAAUUAGAGACGAUGAAGAUCGUGGAGAUGAUGACAUAAUUCAUGCUAUGAAUCUCAAAGAAUGUAAGUCUUGUAGCGGUAGAACAAAACGUUAUGAAUAAAUAAAGAAAAAUUGAAGUAGUUUUAACUUCUUCACUUUAAAGUAUAAUAUUUAAUUAUUUAUAGUUAUGAUCAAAUAGGAAUGGUGUCCAUCUGGAUUCAGAUAUCGAUAGUUUAAUCAUUUAAGAGUAAAUAAAUUGAUAGGGAUGUGCAAGUAAGAAUUAGUAGAGAAUAACAACAUUAGAGAAAUAUUUAAAAAGAAUUAUUGCUAUGGUAAAAGCUCUACCUAAAAAUAAUUUGGCAUUUCAUGAAAUUAAUGAAAAAAUCUAUCAUGUGAAUAAUGAUUUUUUUUUUUUUAUAUCGUGUUAAAAUGACAGAUGAAUUUGAUUCAGGAUUAGAACAUGUCUGACAUAUUUAAAAUGGUAAAAUUCAUAAUCAUUAUCUGGGACAUAAUAUUCAAAAUGAAUUGAUAUAGAUGUUAGCACAAAGUCAAGAGUAUGAUUUUGAAGAAAAUUAAAGAGUCAAAAUAUUUUUAUACUAUACUUGAUUGUAUUUAAAAUUUAAGUUAUCAAGAACAAAUGUCUUUCAUAUUAAGGUAUGUGGAUAUUCUAAUAGUAAUUAAAUAAUAUUUUGUCGAAUUUUUAAAAGUGGAUGGCACUUCUAGAAAAUGCUUCUUUAGUGAACUUAUAAGAGAAAUUAAAAAUUUGAAUCUCGAUAUUAAUGAUAUAAGAGGACAAGGAUAUGAUAACGGGUCUAAUAUGAGGGGAAAGCAAUAAGGUGUGCAAAAAAGACUAUUGAAGAUAAAUUCUAGAACAUUAUAUAUACUAUGUGAUUGUUAUAGUCUUAAUUUAGUAUUUUUUUUUUUAUGUUGUCACCUCUUUAGUUGCAUCUUUUUUUGAAAUUUAAUAACGCAUGUAUUUAUUAUUUUCUUUUUCAACGAAAAAAUGAAAAAUAUUAAAAGAUAACAUUUAAUUUAAUGAUUAAAUCAUUGUCACAAAUUUGUUGGGAAAGUUGUAUUGAAAGUGUUUAGGCAAUUAGAUUUUAAGUUCUAAUAAUACGAGAUGUUUUGUUUGAAUUACCAUAAAGUAGUGAUGAUGUUAAAAUAAACAGUGAAGUUAAAUGUCUUGCAAUGUAUGCAUUAGAGAAUUUUGAAUUUUUGUUGGGUGUAACUAGCUGGUAUGAUAUUUUGUGCACAAUUAAUUUAGUUAUUAAGAGCAUUCAAAAUGCAUAUUGAUAUCGUUAUAGAUCAAUUAAAAGAUUUUUUUUUUUUUUGAAAACUUGUAUAGGGAGAACGAAUUUCAAUCUUGUAUGGUUUUUGUCAAAAAACUUAAAAAUAAAAUGGAAGUAGAAUCGAUAUUAUGUGAAAAAUGUGUGAUUUGUAAGAAAAAUAAUUUGAUAAAAACGUUGAUGAUAAAAUACAAUUCGUUGAAUCAUUUAGAGUUUAUUUUAUAUACAUGAUUGAUCAAAUUAUUAUUUUUAUUUCAAAAUAGGUUUAAGCAAUUUGGAAUAUAUGAAAAAAAAUUUAGAUUUUUAUGCAAUUUUGAGAAAUUAAAAUCAAUGGAAGAAGAUGUUUUAAUAGUGUAGUGUUUGAAUCUUGAAAAUAUUUUUAGAUUUGAUGAACUUUCUGAUAUAGAUAGUUUAGAUUCAUUUUUUAGAAUUAAGAAUGUUUAGAGAAAUUUUUUGGAGGAAAAAGAAAUAGUCCGUUAGAAAUUUUUUAAUACAUUAAAAGAGUCGAUUUUAUUUUGAAUAUAUAUAUUGUUUAUAUAAUAUUUUUUAUAAUUUUAGUUUCAGUAGUUUUUGAAAAAGAAAUUUUUUAAAAUUGAAGUUAAUAAAAUCAUAUUUAAGGUUAAUUAUGGUACAAGAAAGAUUGAAUGGAUUAGUUAUCGUAUUUAUUAAACAUGAUUGAUUUAAUUAUGGAUAUUUAAUAAAUAAUUUUGUAUCUUAAAAAAUAAAAAAAAUUAAUUUUAUAUAAAAUUAAAUAUAAUUUAACGUAUGUUUGUGGAAUUAUAAUUUGCUUGUAAACUUUAUUUUUAAUGUUAUCAGUUUAAUGUAAGAAUUAGGGAGGUAUAAUUUUUUACUCGAUUUGAACUAUGUUUUCAAGUUUCAGGAAAAUUAAUUUUAUUUUUUUAUUUAUUAUAAUAGGAUGUUUGACUUUAUUUAUUUAAAAUAUUAUAUUUUAAUUAAAAUUUAUUAUUGUUAAUAAAUUAUCAUAUAGAAUUAAAUUUUAAUUUAAUAAAAUAAUGGAAUUUUUUUGUAAGGUGGUGUAGUAUUUUUUAUUUUAUAAAAAAAAUAAUAUAUUUGAAAAGGUCUCGACAAAUUUUUUUCACCUAAACUCUCAAUUUGGUUGAGCUGGCUUGGUCUGGACUUCUUGUUCAUGAAUUUGAUAGAAAAUUCUUCUAGAUGCAACAUUCAUUUGUCAUUGAUAUUUUCUAACAUAUUCACGUUGUUUAAAGAUUGUAAAAUUCUAGUUUUACAAUAAUACGUAGUAAUAGAAACAGUAAAAGAUUAUUGUUGCUAGUUAAUAUAUUUUGCUGUGCAUGGUCAGAUGCAAUGCAACGAUAGAAAAGUUCGCUUAAUUCAUGCUUGCGUUUUAAGUAGGGGUGAAGAAGAAACAUAUAUAUAUGAAAAGUGGCUGUCUCAAAUUUGGAUAAAUAAAACAUAUAUAUUCAAGUAAAAUUUUAUUUAAUUAAUUGUCGAUUAAUGUCACCAAUUAAGUGCAUUCUUUACUGUGUCGUCUACAACAAAUGUAAACGUCUUAUAGUCGGCCCCAAUAAUUAAAAACGUCAUUGCAAAAGUAUAAUAGAAAAAACAUUAAAUAGUAGGCUAAUCUAUGGUUAUUGGUGAGCGGAUGUUUUACUAAGGGCAAAUUUAUUAUAUUACUCUUGGAUAUUACCAGUUUGGUGUCGUCAUGUGCUUGUCUCACGAAACGUCACGUGUUCUCUUGAUUUUCAUUCCAUAUUUAAUUUUGAACGAGAUUGACUCGGACAAUCGAGAUAAUCUCUAGCGUCUUUUUCAGAAGUUAUUAUAUCUCUUCAGAGUAAGCUUUACGUCAUAUUAAAAUAGAGAUUAACUUUUACAAGUAUGUGUAUUUGACUACUUAGUGACUUUUCAUUUUGGAUAUUUUCUUCUACUGACUUGAGUGUCGGAGUCCUUUCGGGGGAUUAAAGCCCCGCCCUUGCAGGUACUUGCUUCAAGGUAGAUUUCGGUGAUCGGUCCAGUAUCAUCAGUUAUGUUGUAAUGGUAAAAUAUGAGAAGGUUAAAAGAGUAUUAGAGGUUUGAAUUCUUGUGGAGAUGAGGUCUUGACAUAUUUUGUUGUCCUUUCAGGGGUCUUAGCUACGUGACGUAAAGGGGAGAAUAGUUGCUUUUUGAACGUUUACUUUGAGUGUAAAUUAUGAUUGCAUCUAGAUUCAUAUAAGGGUAAAUAAGAGGGGAAGAUCACCGAAUUAGUUAUGUGUAAGUUCAAAAAUUUUAAAAUAAUAAUAAUAAUAAAAAAGUAUGUUUUCACUUAUUUGUGGUUUUCUCUUUGUGUGGGUGUAUUUUGCUAUGUUUUUGGAACAAUGCAAAAAAAGAAAAUGCAAGUAGUGUAUUUAUCUCAGAAAAGAAUAAAAGGAUUUUGCUUGAGAUUUCUUUUUAAUAUCUUGCAAUAAAGGGGUCUUGUUCAAGGUUAUCAAUUUUGUUUCUGGGUCAAGACAUGCUCCGUGCAAUUUGUAGUUGUCAUCGGAGCUUAUUAAUUCCAUCGUCGGGAGGAGGCGCCUUCCAUCAAGUAGGCGGCGAAAUCUAUUAUGAAAUGCUUGGAUCUUCUUCACCAUCAACAUUUUCACAGAUUUCGAUGGGACCCAAUUGAAGCAGUAGCUGAGACAAAG
Molecule: long non-coding RNA, 7245 nt
Organism: Diospyros lotus (date-plum)
Lineage: Eukaryota; Viridiplantae; Streptophyta; Magnoliopsida; Ericales; Ebenaceae
Exons: 3
Source: RefSeq, a predicted model, not a curated record